UAGUGAAUAUAGAUAAAAUUUUUUUUAUGUAUAUGUGAUUACAAUUAUAAAUAACGAUUACAGUAAUGAAUAAAUAUACAACAAACUAAUGUCGGUCAAUGACCUAAUGCUAGGAUCGACUAAGCGAUGUCGAAUGUAUAAUACAUAAGAAAAAGAUGUCGAAUGAAUAAAUUUAUUUUCUAAUGCAUAAUACAUAUGUUUAACUGAAUAUUACAAAACUACUGUCAAAUAACACAUCUUCGAUCAGUUUUUUUUACCCUUAUUUUACAUUUUCCAGCCGUACGUGAUGCAUCGGAUUUUGCCUGAACCAGGUUCUGAAAAACAAAAAACUUAUAAUGUUCUUUGGAACCUUCGUAUUUCGCCGCUUGUUCAGCAAGUUCACCUUCUUCUUCAACAAGCUUUUUUUAUCAGGAAAAAAGGCACUUUAAUAAAAGGAUCUUUGGUACCAGUAGUACCAAUUACCCCAAAGAGAAGAGCGUUUACAACAAAUAAAGGAAAAGAACCGAAACCAGAAGGAGAAUCACAUCUUUUUCCAAAGCUAGGUCUCUAGCAGCUAAACCACAAAAUUAAUCCAACACCUUUUCCAUAGAGAACCAAGUUCUGAAGUCUUCUUCAACAAGCUGAUGAUGAGAUUAUUCAAAAUCCUAGAGGAAAUUGCAUAAGAAAGAAGAAAGGGAAAAUUUCUGGUACAAAAACAAAAACAAGAUAAAUAGAAUUCAUUCUUCACACCUAUUUGCAAAGAAUCGAAAAACAAAUGCAACAUACGGUACAAAAUCAGAAAACAAAAGAAAAAAUACAUUCUCAUAAAAAAACAAAACCAACAAAAAGAGAAUUCUUUUUCCACAUCUAUUUGCAUAGAAUCGGAAAAAAUCAGAACUUUAAACAACAAAGAAAUACAACACUAAUAACAACAAACCUCCAUGUUUUCGAUGAACUCACUAUUUUCACCUCUUUUUAAAUGAGAUCCACUCCUUCAAAAGUGAAAAAAGAAGCACAGUUAAUCGAUUCUACAGAUCUUGUUGAACAAAAUGAGAUUCGAAACUUCUGGAAUAAAUAAACGAUUGAAAAAUGAAAAAAGAAAUUUCCUUUUUAUCGCAACUUACUUUUCAUGCCGCUUGUUUACCACGAUGAUCUUCGUCUUCACCGCUCGACCAAAUCUGAAGAAGCCGCUUGUUCCGCCUUUGUAUUUCGCCGCUGACGGGAAUAAAAUGAAAAGGAAGAAAACUCUAAUUGCAAAUGAAUAAGGAAAAAAAUGUAAAAUGAAACCAACGGAAAUUUUGGAGCAAUUAAUUCACCACCGAUUUUUGUGGGAUUAGUUGAUACACGUUAUUGCAUAAUUUACUGAAUAGCCCUUUUGUCAGUGUGAACGCAGAAGUCAAUUUCCAGGAAAAAAUAGGAUUAAAUAAUUCCCAGAAAAAUAUACACGGUUGGAUCAAUGUAAUCCUAUGGUUAUUAUAUGAUCUUAGUCCUAACACUUAAGGG
RNAcentral lists this long non-coding RNA (1482 nucleotides) under Salvia miltiorrhiza (redroot sage). Its description in RNAcentral is "long non-coding RNA (SMIL_LNC006798)". Lineage: Eukaryota; Viridiplantae; Streptophyta; Magnoliopsida; Lamiales; Lamiaceae. The record is from RNAcentral.